GCGGCCACUGCGCGGGAGACGAAGAGGCGGCGGGUGGGGUCGGUCGGUGCGGGUGCCUGUGCCGGCAGCGGUUCCGGUGCCGCGGUGGCCGUACCA
RNAcentral lists this transfer RNA (96 nucleotides) under Streptomyces cyanogenus. RNAcentral describes it as "tRNA-Pro". Lineage: Bacteria; Bacillati; Actinomycetota; Actinomycetes; Kitasatosporales; Streptomycetaceae. The record is from RNAcentral.